GGGAUUGGUCAAGCUUGGUUUUGGGCAAUAGCACCCCACCUGACGUCCCCAAGGUCUCCUGACCCCCGCGACAUAUCUCCAGGUACCACUCUGUGGUCAACGAAUAAAAGCAGGAAGUUUCACCCUUCUGCACUUCCUCAUUUCAAGCUUGUAGGAUUAUGGGGUACCCAUCACAUGUGGUACUAGGUGGCGGUUGGGCGAUGGUGCAAAACAAGUUCUCCACAUCCACAAAUCACGUACAAACCCACCAUCCCCUGUUGCCCACCUCCAACUGAGCUCACGUACUCCCAUGUAGCCCUUAUCCUCAUUUCUCUCAACACCGGGUCCCCAUCAAUCCUCCCAAGCUUCCACAACAUCCAAGUAAUUCCACAUCCAAUCAUCAUGGACUAACAAAACCA
RNAcentral lists this long non-coding RNA (398 nucleotides) under Glycine max (soybean). RNAcentral describes it as "long non-coding RNA (GMAX_LNC004146)". The record is from RNAcentral. Lineage: Eukaryota; Viridiplantae; Streptophyta; Magnoliopsida; Fabales; Fabaceae.